RNAcentral lists this ribosomal RNA (492 nucleotides) under uncultured bacterium. RNAcentral's name for it is "partial 16S ribosomal RNA". It matches the Rfam family "Bacterial small subunit ribosomal RNA", at positions 29 to 507 of the family's 1533-position model. The record is from RNAcentral.
AGUGAACGCUGGCGGUAGGCCUAACACAUGCAAGUCGAACGGCAGCACAGUAAGAGCUUGCUCUUACGGGUGGCGAGUGGCGGACGGGUGAGGAAUACAUCGGAAUCUACUUUUUCGUGGGGGAUAACGUAGGGAAACUUACGCUAAUACCGCAUACGACCUACGGGUGAAAGCAGGGGAUCUUCGGACCUUGCGCGAUUGAAUGAGCCGAUGUCGGAUUAGCUAGUUGGCGGGGUAAAGGCCCACCAAGGCGACGAUCCGUAGCUGGUCUGAGAGGAUGUUCGGCCACACUGGAACUGGGACACGGUCCAGACUCCUACGGGAGGCGGCAGUGGGGAAUAUUGGGCAAUGGGCGCAAGCCUGAUCCAGCCAUACCGCGUGGGUGAAGAAGGCCUUCGGGUUGUAAAGCCCUUUUGUUGGGAAAGAAAAGCAGCAGGUUAAUACCCCGCUGUUCUGACGGUACCCAAAGAAUAAGCACCGGCUAACUUCGUG